Molecule: ribosomal RNA, 492 nt
Filed under: uncultured bacterium
Lineage: Bacteria
Description: partial 16S ribosomal RNA
Rfam family: Bacterial small subunit ribosomal RNA
Source: RNAcentral
AGUGAACGCUGGCGGUAGGCCUAACACAUGCAAGUCGAACGGCAGCACAGUAAGAGCUUGCUCUUACGGGUGGCGAGUGGCGGACGGGUGAGGAAUACAUCGGAAUCUACUUUUUCGUGGGGGAUAACGUAGGGAAACUUACGCUAAUACCGCAUACGACCUACGGGUGAAAGCAGGGGAUCUUCGGACCUUGCGCGAUUGAAUGAGCCGAUGUCGGACUAGCUAGUUGGCGGGGUAAAGGCCCACCAAGGCGAUGAUCCGUAGCUGGUCUGAGAGGAUGAUCAGCCACACUGGAACUGAGACACGGUCCAGACUCCUACGGGAGGCAGCAGUGGGGAAUAUUGGACAAUGGGCGCAAGCCUGAUCCAGCCAUACCGCGUGGGUGAAGAAGGCCUUCGGGUUGUAAAGCCCUUUUGUUGGGAAAGAAAAGCAGCAGGUUAAUACCCCGCUGUUCUGACGGUACCCAAAGAAUAAGCACCGGCUAACUUCGUG